This 438-nucleotide ribosomal RNA is filed under the name uncultured bacterium. RNAcentral's name for it is "bacterial SSU rRNA". It matches the Rfam family "Bacterial small subunit ribosomal RNA", at positions 355 to 786 of the family's 1533-position model. The record is from RNAcentral.
UAGGGAAUCUUCGGCAAUGGACGAAAGUCUGACCGAGCAAUGCCGCGUGAACGAGGAAGGUCUUCGGAUCGUAAAGUUCUGUUGAGAGGGAAAAAGGGUCACCAGAGGAAAUGCUGGUGAAGUGAUAUUACCUUUCGAGGAAGUCACGGCUAACUACGUGCCAGCAGCCGCGGUAAUACGUAGGUGGCGAGCGUUAUCCGGAAUGAUUGGGCGUAAAGGGUGCGUAGGCGGCCUGUUAAGUCUGAAGUGAAAGGUACCGGCUCAACCGGUAUAGGCUUUGGAAACUGGCAGGCUGGAGGACAGGAGAGGGCGGUGGAACUCCAUGUGUAGCGGUAAAAUGCGUAGAUAUAUGGAAGAACACCAGUGGCGAAGGCGGCCGCCUGGCCUGUUACUGACGCUGAGGCACGAAAGCGUGGGGAGCAAAUAGGAUUAGAUACC